AUGGCUCUUCAUCUUCACCGCCUGCCCCUCCUCCUCCUACUCGUGCUCACCACCCUCCUAUCCACCGCCUCCGCCACCCACUCGCCGGAGAGCACCACCGCGUGCAGCCACCACCGUUCCCCGACGGGCACCCCCACAGCCCACUUCCACCCCGUCCAUGGCGCGGCUCCUUCCAUGCAUCAAAACGAUCUCGAAACCUUGAGCCAGCCUGUGCUCGCCGUGGACUCCGCCGACGCCGACGCGCAUACAAUGGAGGCGGAGUUGCGGGCGUCGGCCCCUCCUGCUCUGCUCGUGCCACCCCAAGCCGCGGCGCCCUCACCGCCUCCCACGCCCGUCGCGCAGCCGGAUCUGGCGGCCUACCGUUCCGGUGCAACGCCGCCGCCGCGAGAGGGGUUAGCGACUGCUACGGCGACUACGCUACCUAACCAGAGUACGACAGCGAGGCCACCGCCUCCCGUCCAAGCCGGCGGCGCCGCUGGGGAGGUGGUGGUCUCCGACAGCGAGCAGGGGCUGCAUCAGCUCUCGAGGGCGCUUGCUUCGCUAGGGUACCAGGAGAUGGCGGCGGCGGCGGCAGCGCUCCUCGUCAACUCGCCGCCUCUCGCCAAGUGGCCCGGGCCGAUGACAGUCUUCGCCGCUCUCGACGCCUUCCUCCAGGCCUUCUGCCCCAUGUGCUCGCGCCGAGACCUCCUCGUCGACCACAUCGCCAUGGGCUACUACCCCUACUCCGAGCUCACGGUCGCUGCCAUGGUGAAGAUCCCCUCCGCCUCCGUCGACUUGUGCAUCAAGAUCGUUUUGGAAAGGGGCCCCUUCGCCACCGGCCACGCCAGGAUCUACGCGGACGACGUGGAGGUAUCGCACCCCGACCUCUACAACGACGGCCGCUACGUCGUCCAUGGGCUGGUCGGCUUCCUGCGCCCGCUCACGCACUCCUGCUUCCACGGCCCGCACCAUCGCCGCUCCCUUGCGGGGCGAUCUUCUGGUGGCACGCUGGUGCGCGAGGCUAUCGCCCGCCUACGCCGACGAGGCUUCGGCGUUGUGGCGAUCGCCCUCCGCCUCCAGUUCACAGAGCUUCAGAGGUUCGCGAAUCUUACGGUCUUCGCACUCAACGACCAGGCCAUUUUCGCCAGGGGAGGCCACGACUACGUCUCAGCGGUGCGCUUCCACAUUGUGCUCAAACAUCGUCUCACCCACGCCGAUCUACGUCGUCUCCGCCCCGGGACAAUUCUCCACACUCUGGCUGGCGAGGGCCAGAGCCUCAUCAUCACGCACGGUGCCGCCGAGGAUGUCUUCGUCAACUACAUACCCAUCAAGGAAGCAGACGUGGUGAUCAACUCUCGCAUUGCCGUGCAUGGCGUCCAGGAACCUUUGCCGCACCUCGACGGAGAGCUGCACAGCGGCGCCGGCGCGGCCGAGCCAAAUCUUAGGAAGGUGCAAAAGAGGUUCACGCUGCAUGCUUCACAGCGACCGGCAGAGCAAGGUUGGGCACGGGACCGCCGAGUGCCAUUGCAUUUGGCUGUUGUUGGGGCUGCGGUGGCGGCCAUGGCAGGUGCUGCCGCAGCGGGUAGCUGGUUUCGGUCGGUGAGAGGCAAGGAUGGCAAACGGAUUUAUCUUGCACAGGCCGCGAUGGAGGCAACAUACAAUGCCAAAUACGGGCGGAGAAACCUCAUUGCCGAGGUCGAGGAGCAGAAUGAGCGAUGUUGUGCAGUAUGCAAGGCAGAAGCCUUUGAUUGGAUCGCCACCUGCUGUAGUGUGAAGUAUUGCAGUUCAUGCCUGGGUGCAGCAUAUGUCAAGGGUCAUAAUGCGCUCUACGCACCAGGGUCAGUUUGCUGCUCUCCGUCACACUAA
RNAcentral lists this ribosomal RNA (1845 nucleotides) under Triticum aestivum (bread wheat). RNAcentral describes it as "partial small subunit ribosomal RNA". Lineage: Eukaryota; Viridiplantae; Streptophyta; Magnoliopsida; Poales; Poaceae. The record is from RNAcentral.